This 490-nucleotide long non-coding RNA is filed under the name Olea europaea subsp. europaea. Lineage: Eukaryota; Viridiplantae; Streptophyta; Magnoliopsida; Lamiales; Oleaceae. The record is from RNAcentral.
CCACAUUUUAAAUAGUCCAACCAUCAUUUUAAACAAUACAUUUCAGAUUACAUAAACUGCCUACUUCUCACUGUGUUUUCACAAACUAAAACCACAAAAAUUCCCACAUUUUCAACAACACAAAUUCUCACAUUUCUAACACCAAAUUAGUCCCACAUCAGUUUUCAAAUUGCCAUUCCAAAUUGCCCGCUUCUCGCCGACCAUGUUGUCGAACAUGGUUUGUGACUCUAUUUCAAUCUGGGUACAUUUCUCUGCAUUAUAGGAAGAAGAUGAAAUUAAAUAUUUAUAGAUGCUUCUCAUUUAUUAUAUAAGAUCAAAUUUGAGAUCAAAUGUCAAAGAAAAAAAAUAUCGUUCUUGCUGUUUUCUUCAAUUUCGUUGGCUUCCAUAGCAGAUAAGGAGAAGAAAUUGGUUCUUUCUGUCGGUUUGGGUUGCGUCUGGGUCGAAGUUGGGUCAGAGGAGCUUGGGCUCGACAAGUGGGGAGUGAGAAAUG